UUCGCAAUGCCCGAAAGGGUGACGAAGCGACGCCGCGUGUGGGAAGAAGGCCUUCGGGUUGUAAACCACUGUCGGGAGUUAAGAAAUGUAAGGGUGUUAAUAGCGCCUUUGCUUGACUAAGGCUCCGGAGGAAGCCACGGCUAACUCUGUGCCAGCAGCCGCGGUAAUACAGAGGCGGCAAGCGUUGUUCGGAAUUAUUGGGCGUAAAGAGCACGUAGGCGGCUGUGUAAGUCGGUUGUGAAAGCCUUCUGCUUAACGGAAGAACAGCAUCCGAUACUGCAUAGCUCGAGUGCGGGAGGGGAGAGUGGAACUUCUGGUGGAGCGGUGAAAUGCGUAGAUAUCAGAAGGAACGCCGGCGGCGAAAGCGACUCUCUGGCCCGUAACUGACGCUGAGUGUGCGAAAGCUAGGGGAGCAAACGGGAUUAGAUACCCCGGUAGUCCUAGCCGUAAACGAUGGGCACUAAGUAGAGGGGUUUU
This 477-nucleotide ribosomal RNA is filed under the name uncultured bacterium. RNAcentral's name for it is "bacterial SSU rRNA". It matches the Rfam family "Bacterial small subunit ribosomal RNA", at positions 365 to 832 of the family's 1533-position model. The record is from RNAcentral.